GCAGUCACAAGUGGGGUCAUAGCAGGAGCAUUCAUGUUGCGACCCCUGUCAGGUAAUACGUGUUAAUACCUGCAAAUUCUGCU
Molecule: ribozyme, 83 nt
Filed under: Alligator mississippiensis (American alligator)
Lineage: Eukaryota; Metazoa; Chordata; Crocodylia; Alligatoridae
Description: Mammalian CPEB3 ribozyme
Rfam family: Mammalian CPEB3 ribozyme
About the family: The mammalian CPEB3 ribozyme is a self cleaving RNA located in the second intron of the CPEB3 gene which belongs to a family of genes regulating messenger RNA polyadenylation. This ribozyme is highly conserved and found only in mammals.
Source: Rfam by way of RNAcentral